AGAGUUUGAUCCUGGCUCAGAAUCAACGCUGGCGGCGUGCCUAACACAUGCAAGUCGAACGAGAGAGUGGGACUGUAGCAAUACAGUUGCACCAGUAAAGUGGCGAACGGGUGAGUAACACGUAGCUAACCUACCCUCGAGCGGGGAAUAACCCGGGGAAACCUGAGCUAAUACCGCAUAAUAUUCCGGUGGCCUAAGUCGCCGGGAUCAAAGGCCCGCAAGGGUCACUUGAGGAGGGGGCUGCGGCCGAUUAGCUAGUUGGUGGGGUAAUGGCCUACCAAGGCGAUGAUCGGUAGCCGGCCUGAGAGGGCGCACGGCCACACUGGCACUGAAAUACGGGCCAGACUCCUACGGGAGGCAGCAGUGGGGAAUUUUGCACAAUGCCCGAAAGGGUGAUGCAGCAACGCCGCGUGAGGGAUGAAGGCCCUCGGGUCGUAAACCUCUUUCGAUCGGGAAAAACGGGCGGGUGAAGAGCCCGCUCUGAUGGUACCGGAUGAAGAAGCCCCGGCCAACUACGUGCCAGCAGCCGCGGUAAUACGUAGGGGGCAAGCGUUGUUCGGAAUUACUGGGCGUAAAGGGCGUGUAGGCGGUGCGGUAAGUUGGACGUGAAAUCCCCGGGCUUAACUCGGGGCGGUCGUUCAAAACUGCUGUGCUAGAGUGUGGGAGAGGGAAGUGGAAUUCCCGGUGUAGCGGUGAAAUGCGUAGAUAUCGGGAAGAACACCUGUGGCGAAGGCGGCUUCCUGGCCCACAACUGACGCUGAGGCGCGAAAGCUAGGGGAGCAAACAGGAUUAGAUACCCUGGUAGUC
Molecule: ribosomal RNA, 807 nt
Filed under: uncultured bacterium
Lineage: Bacteria
Description: bacterial SSU rRNA
Rfam family: Bacterial small subunit ribosomal RNA
Source: RNAcentral